Odocoileus virginianus texanus is the source of this 503-nucleotide non-coding RNA. The record is from RefSeq and is a predicted model, not a curated record. NCBI's taxonomy places the organism in Eukaryota, Metazoa, Chordata, Mammalia, Artiodactyla, Cervidae.
UCGCCCGCGACGGCUCCCUUCGGCCAAUUCAGGAGGAAAGAAACCCCAAAGCAAAAAGGCCGUUCCGCCCGUUCCCUCACUGGACGGCGGCGGAGGCUCACGGGCUGCCCACACGCGUCGCCGCCGGGAGAAAGACUUCUUGACAACAGGGAGGAAAAGGAGAUUCUGACUCAGCAACAGACUUGUUGAGACUUGCAAAACGGGAAGAGGAGAGCUUUCCAAGGAUAGCCAAGCCAUCAUUUCAUGCUGCGUAUCCAACCUUUAAGUUAUACCACAAUCCAACCACUUCUCACCACUCCCACCUCAAGCAACGUGGUCCAGGCCACCAUGCUGUCCCCUCUGGAUUGUUGCUCUCAAAUCCUAACCAGUGACCCAGCUUCUUCUCUUGUCUACAGUCUACUCUCCAUGAGGCAGCCGGAAUGCUACUUUCAGACAGACGACAUCAGCUCCUCUGGUGAAAUACUGAUUUAAAUAAAAGUCAGAACAUUUUCAAUAACUGAAAA